RNAcentral lists this ribosomal RNA (495 nucleotides) under uncultured bacterium. RNAcentral describes it as "partial 16S ribosomal RNA". It matches the Rfam family "Bacterial small subunit ribosomal RNA", at positions 28 to 507 of the family's 1533-position model. The record is from RNAcentral.
GACGAACGCUGGCGGCGUGCCUAAUACAUGCAAGUAGAACGCUGAAGGAGGAGCUUGCUUCUCUGGAUGAGUUGCGAACGGGUGAGUAACGCGUAGGUAACCUGCCUGGUAGCGGGGGAUAACUAUUGGAAACGAUAGCUAAUACCGCAUAAGAGUAGAUGUUGCAUGACAUUUGCUUAAAAGGUGCAAUUGCAUCACUACCAGAUGGACCUGCGUUGUAUUAGCUAGUUGGUGGGGUAACGGCUCACCAAGGCGACGAUACAUAGCCGACCUGAGAGGGGGAUCGGCCACACUGGGACUGAGACACGGCCCAGACUCCUACGGGAGGCAGCAGUAGGGAAUCUUCGGCAAUGGACGGAAGUCUGACCGAGCAACGCCGCGGGAGUGAAGAAGGGUUUCGGAUCGUAAAGCUCUGUUGUAAGAGAAGAACGAGUGUGAGAGUGGAAAGUUCACACUGUGACGGUAGCUUACCAGAAAGGGACGGCUAACUACGUG